UAGGGAAUCUUCCGCAAUGGGCGAAAGCCUGACGGAGCAACGCCGCGUGAGUGAAGAAGGAUUUCGGUUCGUAAAGCUCUGUUGUUAGGGAAGAAUGAUUGUGUAGUAACUAUACACAGUAGAGACGGUACCUAACCAGAAAGCCACGGCUAACUACGUGCCAGCAGCCGCGGUAAUACGUAGGUCCCGAGCGUUGUCCGGAUUUAUUGGGCGUAAAGCGAGCGCAGGCGGUUAGAUAAGUCUGAAGUUAAAGGCUGUGGCUUAACCAUAGUACGCUUUGGAAACUGUUUAACUUGAGUGCAAGAGGGGAGAGUGGAAUUCCAUGUGUAGCGGUAAAAUGCGUAGAUAUAUGGAGGAACACCGGUGGCGAAAGCGGCUCUCUGGCUUGUAACUGACGCUGAGGCUCGAAAGCGUGGGGAGCAAACAGGAUUAGAUACCCUGGUAGUCCACGCCGUAAACGAUGAGUGCUAAGUGUUGGUCUCAUAAGAGAUCAGUGCUGCAGCUAACGCAUUAAGCACUCCGCCUGGGGAGUACGACCGCAAGGUUG
Molecule: ribosomal RNA, 547 nt
Filed under: uncultured bacterium
Lineage: Bacteria
Description: partial 16S rRNA
Rfam family: Bacterial small subunit ribosomal RNA
Source: RNAcentral